This 428-nucleotide ribosomal RNA is filed under the name uncultured bacterium. Its description in RNAcentral is "bacterial SSU rRNA". It matches the Rfam family "Bacterial small subunit ribosomal RNA", at positions 355 to 777 of the family's 1533-position model. The record is from RNAcentral.
UCGAGAAUCUUCGGCAAUGGGGGCAACCCCGACCGAGCGACGCCGCGUGCGGGAUGAAGGCCUUCGGGUUGUAAACCGCUGUCAGAGGGGAGGAAAUGCUAGAGGGUUCUCUCUCUAGUUUGACCUAGCCUCAGAGGAAGGACGGGCUAAGUUCGUGCCAGCAGCCGCGGUAAGACGAACCGUCCAAACGUUAUUCGGAAUCACUGGGCUUAAAGGGUGCGUAGGCAGUCCGGGAAGUUGGGUGUGAAAGCCCUCAGCUCAACUGAGGAAUUGCGCCCAAAACUGCCGGGCUUGAGGGAGACAUAGGUGAGCGGAACCUAGGGUGGAGCGGUGAAAUGCGUUGAGAUCCUAGGGAACACCAGUAGCGAAAGCGGCUCACUGGGUCUUUUCUGACGCUGAGUGCACGAAAGCUAGGGGAGCGAAGAGGA